GGCUCAGGAUGAACGCUGGCGGCGUGCUUAACACAUGCAAGUCGAACGAAGCACUUUGAUUUCUUCGGAAUGAAGAGUGACUGAGUGGCGGACGGGUGAGUAACGCGUGGGUAACCUGCCUCAUACAGGGGGAUAACAGUUAGAAAUGACUGCUAAUACCGCAUAAGCGCACGAUAUCGCAUGAUAUUGUGUGAAAAACUCCGGUGGUAUGAGAUGGACCCGCGUCUGAUUAGCUAGUUGGUGGGGUAACGGCCCACCAAGGCGACGAUCAGUAGCCGACCUGAGAGGGUGACCGGCCACAUUGGGACUGAGACACGGCCCAAACUCCUACGGGAGGCAGCAGUGGGGAAUAUUGCACAAUGGGCGAAAGCCUGAUGCAGCGACGCCGCGUGAGCGAAGAAGUAUUUCGGUAUGUAAAGCUCUAUCAGCAGGGAAGAAAAUGACGGUACCUGACUAAGAAGCACCGGCUAAAUACGUG
RNAcentral lists this ribosomal RNA (478 nucleotides) under uncultured bacterium. Its description in RNAcentral is "bacterial SSU rRNA". It matches the Rfam family "Bacterial small subunit ribosomal RNA", at positions 21 to 507 of the family's 1533-position model. The record is from RNAcentral.